Long non-coding RNA from Amphimedon queenslandica, 269 nucleotides. RefSeq lists it as uncharacterized. Lineage: Eukaryota; Metazoa; Porifera; Demospongiae; Haplosclerida; Niphatidae. The record is from RefSeq and is a predicted model, not a curated record. The transcript has 3 exons.
AGAAUAGCUACUGAUGCAAUUACUAGUGAAAGAUAUUCUUCAUUUAUGAUUAAUAAAGCAUUAUACACAUUAGUUUAUGGUGGAUUGAAACCAGGAGUACCUUAUUAUGUAUCAGUUGUAGCAGCCAAUCAAGUUGGUGAGAGAAAAUCAGAAACUGCUAUUGUAUUCACCAAAACCGACAGUAGUGUUACAGUAUCACUUUCUAAUGUACAAGCAAUGAGAAUAGGAGAUACAAUAGUGUUAUCAUGGGAUAUAGUGACACUAGAAGA